Molecule: ribosomal RNA, 384 nt
Filed under: Triticum aestivum (bread wheat)
Lineage: Eukaryota; Viridiplantae; Streptophyta; Magnoliopsida; Poales; Poaceae
Description: partial small subunit ribosomal RNA
Source: RNAcentral
AUGUGGACAAAUGGGAGCAGCAGAAUGCAGUAUAGAUUCUUUGCAAACGUCAUAACUUUCGACACCACUUACAGGACAAACGACAUGUCAUUUGGACUAUUUUUGGGGGUCAACAAUCUUUUUCAGUGUAUAAUACUUGCUGGUGUCUUGAUGAGGGACGAACAAGAAGAGAGUUUCGAAUGGGUGUGCUCAGAAUUCCUGCGGAUGAUGGGAGGCCCUGCUCCAAGGACUAUUCUGACAGGUAAGUCAUGCCUUGAUGAUGACUUUUGUUAUUACAGACCAGAGCAGAGCCAUGGAACUAGCCAUCAAGAAGGUUUCCCCAGAGACCGUGCUCAGGUGGUGCAAAUGGCAUGUCCUAAAGAAAGAGUGUUAGGGCCAUGUUAG